ACCAGACUCCUACGGGAGGCAGCAGUGGGGAAUAUUGGGCAAUGGGCGCAAGCCUGACCCAGCAACGCCGCGUGAAGGAAGAAGGCUUUCGGGUUGUAAACUUCUUUUGACAGGGAAGAGUAGAAGACGGUACCUGUCGAAUAAGCCACGGCUAACUACGUGCCAGCAGCCGCGGUAAUACGGAAGGUCCGGGCGUUAUCCGGAUUUAUUGGGUUUAAAGGGAGCGUAGGCCGGUCUUUAAGCGUGCCGUGAAAUUUUGUGGCUCAACCAUGAGAGUGCGGCGCGAACUGGAGACCUUGAGUGCGCGGAAGGCAGGCGGAAUUCGUGGUGUAGCGGUGAAAUGCUUAGAUAUCACGAAGAACCCCGAUUGCGAAGGCAGCCUGCCGCAGCGUUACUGACGCUGAAGCUCGAAAGCGCGGGUAUCGAACAGGAUUAGAUACCCGAGUA
RNAcentral lists this ribosomal RNA (447 nucleotides) under uncultured bacterium. RNAcentral's name for it is "bacterial SSU rRNA". It matches the Rfam family "Bacterial small subunit ribosomal RNA", at positions 330 to 792 of the family's 1533-position model. The record is from RNAcentral.